Lagopus muta (rock ptarmigan) is the source of this 3210-nucleotide long non-coding RNA. RefSeq lists it as uncharacterized. The record is from RefSeq and is a predicted model, not a curated record. The transcript has 3 exons. Lineage: Eukaryota; Metazoa; Chordata; Aves; Galliformes; Phasianidae.
CUUGUCUAGAGAUCCCCUUUUCUGGUGUUUUUUGUGGGUGAGCCAAGCAUAUGGAUUUUCUGUGAGGGGGCUUGGGGACAGGAAGCAGCUUGUUUCUUGUGAUUACUUGCUGCUCUACUAUUGUGAAAAAGAAUACUGCAGUCGUAUGUUGCCUGAGCCAUGAGAUCUACAUACUGUAUCUGUCUACUUUCAAAGCACCUAUUGCUACAUAGAAAUCUUUCCAGGCUAAUCCUUCCCUAGCUUAUAGAAAGAAAUUCUGCAACACUAAUACUGUUGAAUGCAAGAGCACACAGAGCUUGACUUCUGGAAGAGGUCACUAAGGAAUGUGAUCCAAUGUGUUCCACAUCUACUGGAAAUGCAGCUGUAGUAUUAGCAUGCUUUGGAUUGGGUUAUAUCACUGAAUCAUAUAUGGGCAAUAAACAGAAUAACUCCUAACACCGUGCUGACUUUUCCUGUGGCUCUGAGGUAGUCACAAAAGGAAAUAUCCAAUGAUAACUGAGUUCUCUCCCAGUGACACACAGCUUGGCUAUAUUAGCAACCUGUUGAUCUCAUGUGAAGUCCCAACAAUGCACUACCCAGGAACAUGAACAUCCUGAGAGGGUAGACUUUUGUGGAAGUCUCAAAGUGGAGAAAAAUAGUUCUAAAUCAGAUCUGUAGCUCUUCCUCAAUAUGAUGAUCUGACGUAAACAGAAGCAACACAUACUCUCUUAAUGAUUGUGGAUGAGAUUUCAGCAACACUUUUUUGGGAGUCCACUAUGGAAAUUGUGAGUUCUCUUGUAAGCUAUUACUUGCUCCAUUUUUGUUCUUGGAAUGACACAGUUUUUCAUCUUUAAAUAACAUAUGUUGAGUCCAAUUGGGAAGUAUUUUGACAGUGUACCAUACUCUUGUUCCUUUAUGAAACAGAGUAUGAGAAUUCUGUGUUGUUCACAGCACCAAUUCAAAGGGAAAUUGGAAAUCACUUUAGCACUAAGCAUUUUCAAACCUGCUGCUUCAGAGACUGUCUCUCAACAAUAGUGAUGAAGAAUCACGUUAAUUAACAGUUAAGUAACAAUUAUUAUCCCCAUGGCAUCAAAAGACUUCACAUUUCUCUUUAAAUUUAGUAGAUCAGAUUAUCAUUUAAAAAACAACAGUAUUUUAUAAUAAUGUAGAGUACCUGCCUGACCUGAGCAAAACAAAAUAUUAAGUUGAAAUUUGAGACCUUGGUUUUUUAACAAGAUAUCAGCCAACUUUAAGUAUGGUUGCUGGACAGAGUCCACCAACAAAUAACAGAAAAGGAGUGAAUUAAAUACUGCCAGGUCACAUUCUUUUGGAUGACUGACUGAGAUGUCUGCCAUAAAUGUGCCAUUUGGAAGUGAGAGAAGGCAAGUAGACUUGUUGAAGGUAGACAAGACAGCUUGUGUCCUAGUGCUGUUGAAGACAUGCCUGGGAAAAAUGCUGGUGGGUUGUUGCACUCUGCAGAGAUCUGCUGCACUGUAUCUGUGAUUUUGGGAAAGAGUCCAAGAGCAGGAGUAGGGUGAGAAGCCAAGGCCUGACCUGAAAGGGGAGAGCUAAGGGCUUCUUGCAGUUGCAUGGAAACAGUGAGCACGCACUUUGCCAUUGUAGACAUUCAGUUGCUGGAAUCAUCCAGCCAUUACAGAAAUCCAACCAUUGGAGCAGGCCAGCAAUUGGAACUGUUGAGCAGUGAGCAAGCAUGACAACAUGGCUCUGUUUUGGGGACUGAUUUUGCAUUCAGCAGCAAGUAACGACCUGGAAACAGCUGGAAGAGGAAAGUCAUGGUCUUUUCAUAUCUUGUUGAGCUUUUAUUUUGUCAACAAGUAUGAAGCCGUAAAGCCCAGAGAUAAAGAUGACCACACAUAAAUUAGGGCUGCAUUCCAUGAUGUAGUGUAUUCUUUAUGUAGGUAGUUCUUGGCAUAUUUAUUACUGUGUUACUGUAACUUCCUGAGGUGGGCUUUUUUUUGCUACAGUUCUGAAAUGCCCAACACAGCCAAACAGUAAGGCUGUAAAUAGAGCCCAUGGAACUUUCUUUUAUUAAAUGUACGGCAAUGUGAAUAUUUAAACACAAAAAGUAAGAAAUUUAUCACCCUGAGUAUCUAAGUCAUUACUGAAGUAAAAUGUUAGGUUAUAUACUAUUUGUCUACUCCAUACAAACAUCCUAGAGUAGUUAUGAAACAAGUGGUUAUAUGCUGUUUUAUUUAUGUAUUCUGUUAAACAGCGCUCUACAAAGAUAGCAAAAAAUGUGUAUUAGUACUAAAUCUAGCCAUGCAGUUUAAACAGAUUUCUGGAUUUCACCACAAUGACAUUCUAUGCAAAUAGAAUUUAACACAUGUAAAAUUAAUUUGAAAUAAACUACUGCGUCAUAUAGCAGUUACAUAUGAACAUAAUGAAGGUCUAAUCAUUCCAUAGUGAGGCUCUUAACAGAUUGUCCUCCAAAUGAAUGCACUUAAUGUUUAACUCUUUCUUUGGCAUUACACAUCAGAAGUUCAGCAUUUCUAAAUUUUUAAUUGGUGUGUAUGCCAACCAUUUCCAAUUAAUAUAUAUAUAGUUAAAUAACUAAAUCAAUGUUUAAGCUCCUUUACCAAAACAAAUCCAGCCACAUACAACAGCAGUUUGUUAGUGGCUCCUUUUCAGAAUUUGCUGGUCUCAGCAGUUUUUUAUAAUUGUGCUCUUCUUGCUUGGAUGCCUACAGUCAGUCACUCUAUGUUCUGAUUCAGAAAUAUAAAACAAUAAUCUUCCUCUAAGAAUAUCUCAGUGAAGUUGGAUUAAUCAAGAACUAAACAGAUCACCACUGUAAAGGGAAAUUCCAUUUUUUUUCAAACGUCUGAGGAGAAACGUUUAGCUACCUUGUAGAAAGACACUUCUUUCAUCAGGUUGAAUGCUGUUAUCAGCAAAAUGCAAGAAAGAUUAAGGAUCCUCUUUUUUUUUUUUGAUUUCUAGAUUCAAGUCAAUCUUUUCUCAGCCAAUAUUUUGUGGGAAAAUAUACCUGAGUUUGAAUGAUACAGACUGUACAAAUAACUGUAUUAUAAUAAUGAGUUUAAAUGGAAUCUGAGAAGUUAUUUGUCAUUCAUAAAUAAAGUCUGAGAAAGAAUCAGAAAGAAUAUAUAUCUUACCUUGGAACUGCAAUGGUGCUAUUUUUUGUCAUUUCACUCCAGGUUAAUUAAUUCCAUAUUAUAUACUAAAGAGAAUGAAAGACAUAUGUCCCUGUGAACUUAA